UUACUUUGUUUUCCCUUCAAAUCAUAAAUCUUUCGUCUUUUACUAAAGAUUUCCGUGAAGAAGAACAGUUGACGCGUUUAUGAGACAGUAAUAUUCAUUUACGUCCACCUUUGCGAGUA
RNAcentral lists this small nuclear RNA (119 nucleotides) under Melipona quadrifasciata. RNAcentral's name for it is "U5 spliceosomal RNA". It matches the Rfam family "U5 spliceosomal RNA". From Rfam's summary of the family: U5 RNA is a component of both types of known spliceosome. The precise function of this molecule is unknown, though it is known that the 5' loop is required for splice site selection and p220 binding, and that both the 3' stem-loop and the Sm site are important for Sm protein binding and cap methylation. The record is from Rfam by way of RNAcentral. Lineage: Eukaryota; Metazoa; Arthropoda; Insecta; Hymenoptera; Apidae.